CGUAAUAACAGAAACUAACCAGGAUUCCCUUAGUAACGGCGAGUGAACUGGGAUACCAAUAUAUUUAUGCGUCUCUGGCGCAUAUUUUUAGCCCGUCGAUACUAUCCUAGCGUAUUACCGGUUUCGGCCGGUAGCCCAAUACGCGGGAAUUGUAGCAUCGUAAUAAAAUAUACACCAUGCCUGCGUCGCAAACGUAUAUACACGUAUACUCACACACACAUACUCGUACGCGUACACACCCCUUGCAAACACACAGCGCUCCCGCGUUGGAAAGCAAGUCUAUAUCCUCUUUGGAUAUGCCAUAGAGUGUGACAGCCACGUUUGAAACACCCUUACGUACCGUACACACACAUACGUAAAAAUACGCGCUGCUUCGCAUACGCAUACCGUAUAUAACCUGAGUCGAGUUAUUU
Molecule: ribosomal RNA, 413 nt
Filed under: Ammonia sp. 135
Lineage: Eukaryota; Foraminifera; Rotaliida; Rotaliidae
Description: partial 28S ribosomal RNA
Source: RNAcentral